This 67-nucleotide transfer RNA is filed under the name Salinivibrio sp. ES.052. RNAcentral's name for it is "partial tRNA_Met_CAT". It matches the Rfam family "tRNA". From Rfam's summary of the family: Transfer RNA (tRNA) molecules are approximately 80 nucleotides in length. Their secondary structure includes four short double-helical elements and three loops (D, anti-codon, and T loops). Lineage: Bacteria; Pseudomonadati; Pseudomonadota; Gammaproteobacteria; Vibrionales; Vibrionaceae. The record is from RNAcentral.
UUAGCUCAGUGGUUAGAGCAGUCGACUCAUAAUCGAUUGGUCCCCAGUUCAAGUCUGGGAGGGGCCA